AAACUUGAGAGUUUGAUCCUGGCUCAGAACGAACGCUGGCGGCAUGCCUAACACAUGCAAGUCGAACGAUGCCUUCGGGCAUAGUGGCGCACGGGUGCGUAACGCGUGGGAAUCUGCCCUUGGGUUCGGAAUAACUCAGAGAAAUUUGAGCUAAUACCGGAUGAUGACGUAAGUCCAAAGAUUUAUCGCCCAAGGAUGAGCCCGCGUAAGAUUAGCUAGUUGGUGGGGUAAAGGCCUACCAAGGCGACGAUCUUUAGCUGGUCUGAGAGGAUGAUCAGCCACACUGGGACUGAGACACGGCCCAGACUCCUACGGGAGGCAGCAGUGGGGAAUAUUGGACAAUGG
This 345-nucleotide ribosomal RNA is filed under the name Sphingomonadaceae bacterium. RNAcentral's name for it is "bacterial SSU rRNA". It matches the Rfam family "Bacterial small subunit ribosomal RNA", at positions 1 to 374 of the family's 1533-position model. Lineage: Bacteria; Pseudomonadati; Pseudomonadota; Alphaproteobacteria; Sphingomonadales; Sphingomonadaceae. The record is from RNAcentral.